GCAAAACACUACAUCUUAAAUGACAUGGGCUCAGAAAUAUUUAUCGUAGCCCAAAUGAAGCCCAGUAAAAAAAAUCACUCUCCGACCAAACCUAAAACUGAUCGACAGAAUCCGCAGCUAGCCGCAUUGUAACCUAACCACCAACCUUCCGACUUGAGAAAGACGGGUCUUCGCUAGAGAACAUACUAAGGAGAUGAGUCAGAGUUGUGUUCGGAUGGAGGAGCUGGAUUUCUUCAAGAAUCCCAACGAGUUUCCACCAAGACGUGGUGGCUAUGGCCUGGCACAUGUGGAUUGUGUUGGAAGGCGUGCAUACACUAAUGAUGCCUUGGUGAAGCUCUAUGCCAAGCUCGGCCUUCAUCGCUACAAUUGGUUAGAGGGGACAAACUUUGAGCUAGAUAGCUUAAUGCAAUUCAACAUGCGUAGUGCUGCAUCUCCUUACUACAUGACCUUAGUUGCGCGCCUUCCAUCUAGCGGUUUGCAGCAAAUCUUUCAGGUUCUCGUAGAGGAAGAACGUCUUGGCAUUUUAGAUUUGACAUGCCCCAUCUCUAGACCUCAAGGGACCGAGACUUCAAAGAAAGAGUCAACUCCUUUCUUACGUCCACAUUCCGAGCCAGUGUCUACAAACUACCAAGACAGAUUGCUUGGCUGGACCAGGAACAAGUCAGCAAUUCCAUGGCCCUCCGCUUUCAGUGACACAAAGCAGCGUUUUUACAUGUUGAAUGAAUCUGAGUUGCAAUGUGAUUGGAUAUCGUUGUAUGUGAAACUUGCAAUCUGUACUUCCCAUAGGAAAACCACAGCUGAGGAACUCAACAACUUUGAGCUGGAGAUUGUCCAAGUGGCCAUAGAAUCUCUAGAUGAUAAGGAGCCCCCAAGUCUCAAGUCUAAAGCCGCUGUCAUCUACGUAGCAUACAAGAACUUGGCCAAGGCUAGAACUGGUGAGCAUUAUCACUACCAAGCUGUGGUGAGACGAGUCAUCGACCAGACUAUGGGAACAUUGAGCAUCCAAGGUGAUUGCUGGAUUGCAGAAGCAGCAGCAAUGGCUUCGGCGGCUGAAAGCUUAAUCUUAGGGGUCGCUUAGGACCUCAUAAGCUAUGGAGGUUGUCUAGUCCUAGGUGGUAUCAGACGUACAAGAACCGUGGCCUCCGCUCUUCCCCUAUUUAGUAAUUUAAAGACAUUUGAAAGAUGCGUAGUAACUCUUAUGUAUUGUGCUUUUGGUCUCUCGUGUUUAACUACUAUUACUUAUUAGCGAUGACUGCUUUUUGGUCUCUAUUUUAUGCUUUUGGUCUC
Brassica napus (rape) is the source of this 1287-nucleotide RNA transcript. It is a transcript of the gene named UPF0725 protein EMB2204-like, with no coding region annotated. Lineage: Eukaryota; Viridiplantae; Streptophyta; Magnoliopsida; Brassicales; Brassicaceae. The record is from RefSeq and is a predicted model, not a curated record. The transcript is spliced from 6 exons.